Molecule: ribosomal RNA, 257 nt
Filed under: uncultured bacterium
Lineage: Bacteria
Description: partial 16S ribosomal RNA
Rfam family: Bacterial small subunit ribosomal RNA
Source: RNAcentral
CGGACGGGUGAGUAACGUGUGGGCAACCUGCCCUGCACUGGGGAAUAAUCAUUGGAAACGAUGACUAAUACCGCAUACGGUUCCUGGGAGGCAUCUUCUGGGAAAGAAAGGAUUUAUUCGGUGCAGGAUGGGCCCGCAUCUGAUUAGCUAGUUGGUGAGAUAACAGCCCACCAAGGCGACGAUCAGUAGCCGACCUGAGAGGGUGACCGGCCACAUUGGGACUGAGACACGGCCCAAACUCCUACGGAAGGCAGCAG